UUAAAUUGAAGAGUUUGAUCAUGGCUCAGAUUGAACGCUGGCGGCAGGCCUAACACAUGCAAGUCGAACGGUAACAGGAAGAAGCUUGCUUCUUUGCUGACGAGUGGCGGACGGGU
Molecule: ribosomal RNA, 116 nt
Filed under: Escherichia coli
Lineage: Bacteria; Pseudomonadati; Pseudomonadota; Gammaproteobacteria; Enterobacterales; Enterobacteriaceae
Also listed under: 1 other name
Description: partial 16S ribosomal RNA
Rfam family: Bacterial small subunit ribosomal RNA
Source: RNAcentral